This is a long non-coding RNA of Octopus sinensis (East Asian common octopus), 107 nucleotides long. RefSeq lists it as uncharacterized. The record is from RefSeq and is a predicted model, not a curated record. The transcript is spliced from 4 exons. Lineage: Eukaryota; Metazoa; Mollusca; Cephalopoda; Octopoda; Octopodidae.
GUGUUGAAGAAGGAGCAAUAACUCCUGAAAUAUGCAAAUACACUCAUUACCAAUUUUUCUAUCUUCAAUCGCAUUGUUUGAACACACAUUUAAAUAUGAAAUGCCAU